Molecule: unclassified non-coding RNA, 166 nt
Filed under: uncultured Pleosporales
Lineage: Eukaryota; Fungi; Ascomycota; Dothideomycetes; Pleosporales
Description: sequence contains ITS1
Source: RNAcentral
CACGAUAUACAGGCCACGGCGGCAGCUUUCCCAACAGAUAGCUGCCCGUCGGAACCCUACCCUUGCUUUUUGCGUACCCAUUGUUUCCUCGGCAGGCUUGCCUGCCAGUAGGACCCUUUUAAACUCUUUGUAGUUGCAGUCAGCGUCAGAAAUAACGUAAUCGUUA